AUACGAAGAAGCCAAUGGUAGCGGAAUAUAGAAAUAUUGUAGGAUACAAGAGACAUAGAACACACAUGGGAUGAUGAUCAUCUCAGUGGAACUUGAGGCUGGUCAAGACGUUGUUGUUGACGGGAUCCGCCAAGUGAUCAAGCAGGUUCUGGUAAGGCCCGACUCCGGUCACUAGUCCCUGGAUGAAGUAACCGAGGAUGGCGAGCAUAGCCAGUCUACCGUUCUUGACCUCCUUGAGUUUCAACUCUUUCAUUGACUUCUCAUCUUUCCCAAACCCAAGAGGGUUGAAGAAAGGUCCACCGGGGUAUGAUGGGUCACCUGAACCGGCCAAACCCUUCUCUAACCCCAAGAAGUACUGUUUCCCCAUAGAUCCUGGGUUGUACCAGUCCUGUAACCUCCUGUGCUCAGCAAAUCCCAUCAGAGCCAUCUCAAGAACAAAGAGUGUGUAAUUGUCUGCCCAGUAGCUGUAUGUCCCUGCAGGUGGAAUCACACCGGUUUGGAACCAGGGAAGAGCUGUCUCUGCGGGAAUCAGACCAGCCUUUCCUAGAAUCUCAGGAGCAAUAGCUCCAGCUGCACCCAACAUGGCGAACCGUCCGUUGAUGAUCUCUCCGUAUGCUAGCCAUCUCGGCUCAAUGAAUCCUCCGGUUCCCUCUGGGUCUGAGAGACCAAGUGGGUCGAAUCCAUAGUCACCAGGUAAGCUGUAAGAAUCACAACAUUUCCAAAUCUUUUGAACAUCAUGUAAGUUCUCAAAGCAAUCAAAUCCAACAGUGUAUUUAAGAAUUACCUGCCAUCCAAGUAAGUGAGACUCUGCGAUGAUGCAAACCACAAUGGUCUGUUUGCUCCUUGCUGAGAUACCAAAACACACAAAAAUCAAGAUCAGGUUAUGUAAUGCAUAUAGAGAGACAGAGAAAGAGAUAGAUCUGUGUGAAAGAUACCUUGACAGGUGGAGUUGAAGCAGCCUUAACAACAAAGGAGCUCUUCUUCUGUGAGGCAGACACAGCUGGUUUUGAGCCAAAAAUCUGUCUAGCUGUCUGAACAGAGGAG
This 1044-nucleotide long non-coding RNA is filed under the name Capsella grandiflora. Its description in RNAcentral is "long non-coding RNA (CGRA_LNC001176)". Lineage: Eukaryota; Viridiplantae; Streptophyta; Magnoliopsida; Brassicales; Brassicaceae. The record is from RNAcentral.